This 105-nucleotide small nuclear RNA is filed under the name Trichobilharzia regenti. The record is from RNAcentral. Lineage: Eukaryota; Metazoa; Platyhelminthes; Trematoda; Strigeidida; Schistosomatidae.
ACGCACUCUCGGUACAUAUACACUAAAAUUGAAACGAUACAAAGAAGAUUAGCAUGGCCCCUGCACAAGAGUGACAUGCAAAAUCGUGAAGCGUUCCAUAUUUUU